Molecule: ribosomal RNA, 503 nt
Filed under: uncultured bacterium
Lineage: Bacteria
Description: partial 16S ribosomal RNA
Rfam family: Bacterial small subunit ribosomal RNA
Source: RNAcentral
AUUGAACGCUGGCGGCAGGCUUAACACAUGCAAGUCGAGCGGGGUGAUGGUGCUUGCACUAUCACUUAGCGGCGGACGGGUGAGUAAUGCUUAGGAAUCUGCCUAUUAGUGGGGGACAACAUCUCGAAAGGGAUGCUAAUACCGCAUACGUCCUACGGGAGAAAGCAGGGGAUCACUUGUGACCUUGCGCUAAUAGAUGAGCCUAAGUCGGAUUAGCUAGUUGGUGGGGUAAAGGCCUACCAAGGCGACGAUCUGUAGCGGGUCUGAGAGGAUGAUCCGCCAAACUGGGACUGAGACACGGCCCAGACUCCUACGGGAGGAAGCAGUGGGGAAUAUUGGACAAUGGGGGGAACCCUGAUCCAGCCAUGCCGCGUGUGUGAAGAAGGCCUUAUGGUUGUAAAGCACUUUAAGCGAGGAGGAGGCUCUUUUGGUUAAUACCCAAGAUGAGUGGACGUUACUCGCAGAAUAAGCACCGGCUAACUCUGUGCCAGCCGCCGCGGUAA